RNAcentral lists this ribosomal RNA (468 nucleotides) under uncultured bacterium. RNAcentral's name for it is "partial 16S ribosomal RNA". It matches the Rfam family "Bacterial small subunit ribosomal RNA", at positions 28 to 507 of the family's 1533-position model. The record is from RNAcentral.
GACGAACGCUGGCGGCGUGCCUAACACAUGCAAGUCGAACGGAAAGGCCCUGCUUUUGUGGGGUGCUCGCGUGGCGAACGGGUGAGUAACCCGUGAGUAACCUGCCCUUGACUUUGGGAUAUCUUCAGGAAACUGCGGCUAAUACCGGAUAGGAGCUCCUGCUGCAUGGUGGGGGUUGGAAAGCUUCGGCGGUUGUGGAUGUACUCGCGGCUUAUCAGCUUGUUGGUGGGGUAGUGGCUUACCAAGGCUUUGACGGGUAGCCGGCCUGAGAGGGUGACCGGCCACAUGGGGACUGAGAUACGGCCCAGACUCCUACGGGAGGCAGCAGUGGGGAAUAUUGCACAAUGGGCGGGAGCCUGAUGCAGCAACGCCGCGUGCGGAAUGACGGCCUUCGGGUUGUAAACCGCUUUCGGCUGUGACGAAGCGUGUGUGACGGUAAUGGGUGAAGAAGCACCGGCUAACUACGUG